Podarcis lilfordi (Lilford's wall lizard) is the source of this 83-nucleotide non-coding RNA. Lineage: Eukaryota; Metazoa; Chordata; Lepidosauria; Squamata; Lacertidae. The record is from the annotation of a GenBank genome assembly.
GCCCACAUCCUGAUGGAUUGCUCAUUCGGCAGAGCAUCAGACUCUUAAUCUCAGGGUUGUGAGUUCGAGCCCCACACUGGGCA